RNAcentral lists this ribosomal RNA (468 nucleotides) under uncultured bacterium. RNAcentral describes it as "partial 16S ribosomal RNA". It matches the Rfam family "Bacterial small subunit ribosomal RNA", at positions 28 to 507 of the family's 1533-position model. The record is from RNAcentral.
GACGAACGCUGGCGGCGUGCUUAACACAUGCAAGUCGAACGGAAAGGCCCUGCUUUUGUGGGGUGCUCGAGUGGCGAACGGGUGAGUAACACGUGAGUAACAUGCCCUUGACUUUGGGAUAACUUCAGGAAACUGGGGCUAAUACAGGAUAGGAGCUCCUGCUGCAUGGUGGGGGUUGGAAAGUUUCGGCGGUUGGGGAUGGACUCGCGGCUUAUCAGCUUGUUGGUGGGGUAGUGGAUUACCAAGGCUUUGACGGGUAGCCGGCCUGAGAGGGUGACCGGCCACAUUGGGACUGCGAUACGGCCCAGACUCCUACGGGAGGCAGCAGUGGGGAAUAUUGCACAAUGGGCGGAAGCCUGAUGCGACAACGCCGCGUGCGGGAUGACGGCCUUCGGGUUGUAAACCGCUUUCGCCUGUGACGAAGCGUGAGUGACGGUAAUGGGUAAAGAAGCACCGGCUAACUACGUG